GUGGUUGUGGCUCAGCAGUAGAGCACUUGCCUUGCAUGUGCAGGGCCCUGGGUUCGAUCCUCAGCACCACA
This is a non-coding RNA of Ictidomys tridecemlineatus (thirteen-lined ground squirrel), 71 nucleotides long. The record is from Rfam. Lineage: Eukaryota; Metazoa; Chordata; Mammalia; Rodentia; Sciuridae.